CCUACGGGAGGCAGAAGUAGGGAAUUUUCGGCAAUGGGGGCAACCCUGACCGAGCCACGCCGCGUGAACGAAGAAGUUCUUCGGAGUGUAAAGUUCUUUUAACAGGGAAGAAAGAGAAAUUUUACGGUCCCUGACGCAUAAGCUCCGGCUAACUACGUGCCAUCAGCCGCGGUAAUACGUGGGGAGCAAGCGUUAUCCGGAAUUAUUGGCCGAAAAGGGUGCGUAGAUGGCAUAGUAAGUAUUUUGUAAAAAUGCUGGGCUAAACCCAGGAGUGCAAAAGAUACUGCAAAGUUAGAGUAUGAGAGAGGUAAGCGGAACUAGAUGUGUAGCGGUAAAAUGCGUAAAUAU
This 348-nucleotide ribosomal RNA is filed under the name uncultured bacterium. RNAcentral's name for it is "partial 16S ribosomal RNA". It matches the Rfam family "Bacterial small subunit ribosomal RNA", at positions 338 to 697 of the family's 1533-position model. The record is from RNAcentral.